Molecule: long non-coding RNA, 930 nt
Filed under: Helianthus annuus (common sunflower)
Lineage: Eukaryota; Viridiplantae; Streptophyta; Magnoliopsida; Asterales; Asteraceae
Description: hypothetical non coding rna
Source: RNAcentral
UUAAUUUUAAAUAAAUAUUGUUUUCAAAUUAUUACAUAAUCUAUUACAUAGAAAGAUGAUAACUACGUCUUUAAAGUUCGGUCAAAUAAACAAUUCUUCUAUUUAAUUAUAACAAUAUUAUAGGAUUUCGUGACCGUCUACACGUAUUCGGUUAUCUCAGUUUUGUGAUCAUCGCUUAAGGUACGGAUAGAAUCCCUUCCUUCAAUACAUGUCAUUUGGCCUUUGGGCAUCUGAUUUCUGAUUUUUAAAUUAUGAAAUAAGUUUAUAUUAUAAAAAUGUUUAUAAAGUUUACGUGUUUAUAAAUGUACAAGUUUAAGAUUAUGUACAUGUAUCAUGUUACCCAAGUCAGUCCCUUUUCUGUGAGGAUGACCACAGACCCAUCAUUGUGGCAUAAAAUGAUGUGGCACCAUCCGUGACGGUGAGUUGAGUUCACGGCGUCUCUUCUGUUUCAGUCUACGGACUUCUGUUAGUCUACGGACUUCUGUUUAGAGGCGUAUGGAUCGAUCCUAGGAAAAAGUAAAUAAAGUCUGAUAUCUGAUGAAUGGUAGGUGUGAUUUGCCCACACUCCAUUCAGGUCUGGAUACAUGGGCUAGCUACCCUGUAUUAACCUCUGUAAUAAAAUGAACCUUCUGGACUUCGGUAUAUUUUGAAUUAUGAAAACUUAGCGUUUUUGCUAAAACAAAGGAUUUUUAAAGAACUUAGCCUUUUUCUAAAAUAAAAUAAGUCUUUUGUUUUCCUCUAUCCGCACACAGUACGUUUUUGUGUUUUCCUUCUUUACGUCAGGUUAUCAAGACAAUCUGGGACGGGAUAUAGAAGAGUGCUCGAGUAUAUGAAAAAGACCGUAGAAAUAAUGUACUGGAUUAGAUAUCCUAUUUCCAUUAAGUUGUAAAGCCUUGUAAUACAUUUAAGUAUUAAUGGAAUUAUGUUUUU